Molecule: ribosomal RNA, 253 nt
Filed under: uncultured bacterium
Lineage: Bacteria
Description: partial 16S ribosomal RNA
Rfam family: Bacterial small subunit ribosomal RNA
Source: RNAcentral
GACGUAGGAGGCGAGCGUUGUCCGGAUUCAUUGGGCGUAAAGAGCACGCAGGCGGUUUGGCAAGUCGGAUGUGAAAACCCGGAGCUCAACUCCGGACCUGCAUCCGAAACUGCCCGACUAGAGGUAGGUAGGGGAGAUCGGAAUUCCUGGUGUAGCGGUGAAAUGCGCAGAUAUCAGGAGGAACACCGGUGGCGAAGGCGGAUCUCUGGGCAUGUCCUGACGCUGAGGAGCGAAAGUGUGGGGAGCGAACAGG